GGAAGCCUCAAGAGGGAUCAAGUGGAUUACAUGCAUGGUUGUUCCAAGGACAACUGGAUUCUUAUGCUUCCAGCAUCUCUUCUGGAGGACAUUUUUAUUGAUGUGGUUCUCCAGGAGGGUGACGAGGCAAUUUUGAAGCUGGCCCUUGUGUGCAUUCGCUUCAGGGACAUUGUGACAUGGGAAGGGUUCAGGAGACGAGCCCAUUUUCUUUGGCUUGACAGUGUCACAAAUUGGACUGUUAUCUCCACAUACUACAAGGCGGAGUUCUACAAAAUGUACACGCUGGAAACUUGUAGUCAAUGUAGAG
This is a non-coding RNA of Misgurnus anguillicaudatus (oriental weatherfish), 307 nucleotides long. NCBI's taxonomy places the organism in Eukaryota, Metazoa, Chordata, Actinopteri, Cypriniformes, Cobitidae. The record is from RefSeq and is a predicted model, not a curated record.